Molecule: ribosomal RNA, 1410 nt
Filed under: Salmonella enterica
Lineage: Bacteria; Pseudomonadati; Pseudomonadota; Gammaproteobacteria; Enterobacterales; Enterobacteriaceae
Description: partial 23S ribosomal RNA
Rfam family: Bacterial large subunit ribosomal RNA
Source: RNAcentral
GGGUUGUGAGGUUAAGCGACUAAGCGUACACGGUGGAUGCCCUGGCAGUCAGAGGCGAUGAAGGGCGUGCUAAUCUGCGAUAAGCGCCGGUAAGGUGAUAUGAACCGUUAUAACCGGCGAUACCCGAAUGGGGAAACCCAGUGUGAUUCGUCACACUAUCAUUAACUGAAUCCAUAGGUUAAUGAGGCGAACCGGGGGAACUGAAACAUCUAAGUACCCCGAGGAAAAGAAAUCAACCGAGAUUCCCCCAGUAGCGGCGAGCGAACGGGGAGGAGCCCAGAGCCUGAAUCAGCAUGUGUGUUAGUGGAAGCGUCUGGAAAGGCGCGCGAUACAGGGUGACAGCCCCGUACACAAAAGCGCAUGUGCUGUGAGCUCGAUGAGUAGGGCGGGACACGUGGUAUCCUGUCUGAAUAUGGGGGGACCAUCCUCCAAGGCUAAAUACUCCUGACUGACCGAUAGUGAACCAGUACCGUGAGGGAAAGGCGAAAAGAACCCCGGCGAGGGGAGUGAAAAAGAACCUGAAACCGUGUACGUACAAGCAGUGGGAGCACAGGUUUACCUGUGUGACUGCGUACCUUUUGUAUAAUGGGUCAGCGACUUAUAUUCUGUAGCAAGGUUAACCGUAUAGGGGAGCCGAAGGGAAACCGAGUCUUAACCGGGCGUUAAGUUGCAGGGUAUAGACCCGAAACCCGGUGAUCUAGCCAUGGGCAGGUUGAAGGUUGGGUAACACUAACUGGAGGACCGAACCGACUAAUGUUGAAAAAUUAGCGGAUGACCUGUGGCUGGGGGUGAAAGGCCAAUCAAACCGGGAGAUAGCUGGUUCUCCCCGAAAGCUAUUUAGGUAGCGCCUCGUGAAUUCAUCUCCGGGGGUAGAGCACUGUUUCGGCUAGGGGGCCAUCCCGGCUUACCAACCCGAUGCAAACUGCGAAUACCGGAGAAUGUUAUCACGGGAGACACACGGCGGGUGCUAACGUCCGUCGUGAAGAGGGAAACAACCCAGACCGCCAGCUAAGGUCCCAAAGUCAUGGUUAAGUGGGAAACGAUGUGGGAAGGCCCAGACAGCCAGGAUGUUGGCUUAGAAGCAGCCAUCAUUUAAAGAAAGCGUAAUAGCUCACUGGUCGAGUCGGCCUGCGCGGAAGAUGUAACGGGGCUAAACCAUGCACCGAAGCUGCGGCAGCGACACUCAGGUGUUGUUGGGUAGGGGAGCGUUCUGUAAGCCUGUGAAGGUGGCCUGUGAGGGUUGCUGGAGGUAUCAGAAGUGCGAAUGCUGACAUAAGUAACGAUAAAGCGGGUGAAAAGCCCGCUCGCCGGAAGACCAAGGGUUCCUGUCCAACGUUAAUCGGGGCAGGGUGAGUCGACCCCUAAGGCGAGGCCGAAAGGCGUAGUCGAUGGGAAACGGGUUAAUAUUCC